CUACAGUGGUAACAAACUCAGCCACCUCUAGACUAAGCUUUGGUUUUUGUGCUCCUCAUAACCUUGUUUAUGCUCCUUCCCAGGCUGAGAACCUGACUCUUGGAUUUACUGCCUCAGAAGACUCUGUGGUUAAAAAGCACUUACAGACUUCGCUUCCUGAAUUAUUGUCUUCGACUGGAUUUCGCUCUGGCUGGCAGCCACCCUGAUUCCUUCGUUUCUCUGCAUCUGGACAUUAAGCGUAUCCUGUCCACCCUCCUACAUAAGCCAUUACAACUUGGAUUACCUCUUGGUUUUUGCUCCAUCUCAGAACAGCACCAGGAGAAGACAUCAAGACGAACACUGCUUAUAUGGACCUCAACCCCUGGCGACCUGACUACAUCAAACUAUUGGAGAUUUACCUGUUCUUGUUCCAGAUUAUUAGUCACUCAAACAUCUUUUACUGAUUUUCGUUCUCUGGAGUGUCCUUCUGUAUGUGGGUCAGAGCUGUUUCGAACACAAUGACACAUACCCUGAUGCACAUCAAAAUUUUUUCUGAAUGUAGAAAGACAAAUCCUAAAUGUCACUGACUGUCCUUGAAACAGCUAGCGUUUAUCCCAUCUCUACUGUCUGCUCUUCCAUCAGUGCUAAUUACUGUAAAUUAAUUUUAAUUGAGGAUACUGAACCUUGCCUGAUGUUGGAGAUUUAGAGUCAAUAGGCAUGUAAUGGCAUGCUGUCUUUGUCUGUCAUUAAUCAAGGUUAUUUAUGAAGGUGCUGCCCAAAGGAUCAGAGGAACAUGUGUCAGUUAAUGUUAAAAACUGUGCCGAGCUGUUUGGAAAGGUCUAGAACUACUAAUUUGCAUUUAAAAACAUCUGCAAGAGAUCAGCGCUAGUGAGAAGGAAAACCUUGCAAAUGAAGAUUUCAGUCAUCAGACCUUUUAAUAUUUUGUUAGUAUUUUUGUACAAAAAGAUAAUGUCAAACCUUAAUUGCUUUUGAGAAAUCUCUAUGGAAAGAAUAUCUUUGCCAUCAGGCCUCACCCCCCUUCACUUUUCCUCAGUAAGUGAACCAACAACAUAUUAAGCAAUCACUCACAGACAUGGAACUGGGCCGACAGCAAUUGCAUUAGCAAUUUUAUUUGAAUUGGUCCUCUUUAAAGUUUAUAUAAAAAAUUUUCCUUCCAAAACAUAAACGUUUAUUGAAGGUCAGUAUUAUCUGCAGGUGAAAUGCAAAGUGCUUUCACAAAUUAUGGGCUGGGUAUUCUGAGUAUGUUCUUUCUAACUCUAGGCUUUUUUUUUUUUUUCUCCAUUUAGCCACACUUUGAUUUUUAAACAAGAUCACAAUGAUCUACCUGUAUAAAAAAGCAGUAUCAUAAUCUACUAUACUUAAGAGUAGGGGUUUGACAAGCUCUCACACCACUAAUAGAAUACAAUAUUUCUCAAAGUUAAGUCUAACUCAUGAACUGCUGUCUGUUUUUAAAUUGCAUCUUUGAUAUUUACAAGGGUUCAUUUUAAACUAUGAUGCUAUUCUUGACUUUAUGAUCGGUUUAAGGGGACUUUUGAUUAAUAGAACGAGAGCCAACAUGCCGCACAGCAAAUCCAGUAAACAACCAGGUGACGAAAUGCCACAGGGAAGCUUAAACAAUGGUUGGCUUUAAAAUAAAAAAUAUUUAUGUUGAAAAUCUGAAUUUAAAUCGACAAUGGAUUAAUUCUUACAGAGACCUUUAUAUUGAGAGACUGUGGUAAUUAUUAAAAUUGUCGGUGUCACUGCUCCCAUGAAAAUUAGGCAAAAAUGAGAAAAGGAUUAAGAGAAAAGUAUGAAAAAAUACAAACACAUUACAGUUAUUGGGUUGUGAUUCUGGAGAUUUGUUGUGUAGGUGUGAUUUCCAGAGUUGGGUGUGGCCCGGUAGGCUACAGUGUUCACAGCUGACUGCAAUCUCCUCAUCAGACUGCCGGGGAAUGAAAGGUCCAAGCCACAUGAAAGAUUCUUUCUGAGAUGCCACGUUCCUCCAGUCACUUCUUCCUAGAAAAAUGAGACAGGCAUCUCUUAGAAGAUGACAAAACAAUGUAAAGGGAGCAUCCAUUUCCAAAAGAGGCGCUGCAACUGUGUAAGGCAGCCAAACUCAAUGUUUACAAAGAAGAGUCCAGCUCUGCAUACCCUACCAUUAAAAUCAAGACCAGAAGAAGAGUGCAGCUGAUGGUGAAACGUAGCAGAGGUGUCGCUUGUGCUCUGUUGGUUUGGGACAGGUGUUUUCCAUCUCCGUGAUCAAGCUGGGAGGUUUAAAAGGAGCAAGGUGGCAGCACUUCGACGCCUGAGUGUUUUGCCUCUGUGCUUCAGCUUUGGACCCAGUUCAAGCUCCUUUGAAAGUACCAACCUGACUUUGCCUUCUUUGCCAAGAUUUCCAGUCAGGCUUUGCUGGCAGCCAUUGGACUCCAUACUCUCAGCUUCCCCGAGCGAAACCUGUCCACCAUCCAGCAAGCGGCACCUCUGGACUCUGUCUGUAAGGAAACACCAAAUCAAAGUUCUGAUCCGUGGGAAGGAUCAGUUAAUCAAAGUAACCAGGCCAACCAAGCUUACCACUGCAAAUCCUAAUUGUCCCCAUCCUCUACUUAACUGUACCCUUCAAUGCAGCCGAGAGGUUCCAGUCCCAGAUCCCGCCUUCAUCGGAUCUGUGAUCAAAUAAACACUUUAAACUUCAUAAUCUCUCUGAGUGUUUUCUGCAUGUGGGUCAGACUGGCUAAAAACAAAGUGACAGAACACUCAGGCCAAGCUGACACAGCAGAAACACUAAAAAUAACUUUAUCUGAACAUAGUCACCAAAUUCAGGCUCAAGGUUCAUCUCUCCGCGCUCUCCAUGAACAACAAAGGCAAACUAACCAACAGCUUGAACAGAUUUCCUCUCUCUUACAGCAUGUUCUCAGUACCAAGGAUUCCCUUUCGCCUGGUGGCGCUACUGAACCCCUGCUGUCUCAACAGCUACCUUCCGGACGUGACGUAACUUCCCCUAACCUGGAAACAUUUUCUGGCCAGAUCAGAGACUGUGGAGGAUUUCUGCUGCAGUUCGUCUGUUUCACCUAACAUCCCAGUUUCGGACCAUAAGCAGGAGGAACCUUCCGAUCUCACUCAAGUCUCCACCGCAUAUCAUGACCUUAAAAUGGUGUUCAGCAAAUCUAAGGCCCUAUCUCUGCCUCCUCACUGGCCCUAUGACUGCACAAUUGAUCUUCUCCCUGGAGCACCUUUACCUUCAAGUCGCCUGUACAAUAUUUCUAAUCCUGAACGAGCCACCAUGGAAAAAUAUAUUUCCCUGGCAGCUGGUAUCAUCCGUCCAUCAUCCUCUCCCCUUGGUGCUGGAUUUUUCUUUGUCGGGAAGAAGGAUGGAUCCUUGUAUUGACUACCGUGGACUUAAUCAAAUCACUGUUAAAAAUAAAUAUCCAUUACCAUUACUCUCUUCUGCCUUUGAACCGGUACAUGGUUCCACUGUGUUCACCGAAUUGGACUUACGCAAUACUUACCACCUCGUCCAAAUUCGCAAGGGUGACGAGUGGAAGACUGCAUUUAAGAUGCCUUUAGGGCACUUUGUGUUUCUAGUUAUGCCUUUUGGACUCAGCGAUGCGCCAGCAAUGUUUCAGGUGCUAGUAAAUGACAUUUUGACAGAUUUUUUUGAACAUUUUUGUGUUGUGUAUUUAGAUGACAAUUUACCUUCCAUAACACUGUUUAAGUUUAGUUAGAAUUGUUAUUGCCCAUUGAUGAUGUUUGAUUUAUGCUGGUGCAUUUUCUGUGAGCAGCUGUGACAGACUAAUGAUGUUUCUAUUUCAAGAGCUAAUGUUUCAAUCCAAUAAAUUAAGACAGAAAGUUUA
This is a long non-coding RNA of Girardinichthys multiradiatus, 3830 nucleotides long. RefSeq lists it as uncharacterized. The transcript has 7 exons. The record is from RefSeq and is a predicted model, not a curated record. NCBI's taxonomy places the organism in Eukaryota, Metazoa, Chordata, Actinopteri, Cyprinodontiformes, Goodeidae.